RNAcentral lists this ribosomal RNA (253 nucleotides) under uncultured bacterium. RNAcentral's name for it is "partial 16S ribosomal RNA". It matches the Rfam family "Bacterial small subunit ribosomal RNA", at positions 524 to 776 of the family's 1533-position model. The record is from RNAcentral.
GACGUAGGGGACGAGCGUUGUCCGGAUUCAUUGGGCGUAAAGGGCGCGCAGGCGGCUCAUUUUGUCAGGCGUGAAAGCCCCGGGCUUAACCUGGGAACUGCGUUUGAUACGGAUGGGCUAGAGUUCGGGAGAGGAGAGUGGAAUUCCCAGUGUAGAGGUGAAAUUCGUAGAUAUUGGGAAGAACACCGGUGGCGAAGGCGGCUCUCUGGACCGAGACUGACGCUGAGGCGCGAAAGCGUGGGGAGCAAACAGG